UACGGGGGGGGCAAGCGUUGUUCGGAAUUACUGGGCGUAAAGGGCUCGUAGGUGGCCAACUAAGUCAGACGUGAAAUCCCUCAGCUUAACUGGGGAACUGCGUCUGAUACUGGAUGGCUUGAGUUUGGGAGAGGGAUGCGGAAUUCCAGGUGUAGCGGUGAAAUGCGUAGAUAUUGGGAAGAACACCGGUGGCGAAGGCGGCUCACUGGCCCGGUACUGACGCUGAGGUGCGAAAGCGUGGGGAGCAAACAGG
Molecule: ribosomal RNA, 253 nt
Filed under: uncultured bacterium
Lineage: Bacteria
Description: partial 16S ribosomal RNA
Rfam family: Bacterial small subunit ribosomal RNA
Source: RNAcentral